RNAcentral lists this transfer RNA (72 nucleotides) under Nicotiana sylvestris (wood tobacco). It matches the Rfam family "tRNA". From Rfam's summary of the family: Transfer RNA (tRNA) molecules are approximately 80 nucleotides in length. RNAcentral also lists the same sequence under 1 other name. The record is from Rfam by way of RNAcentral. Lineage: Eukaryota; Viridiplantae; Streptophyta; Magnoliopsida; Solanales; Solanaceae.
UGAAAUAUAGCCAAGUGGUAAUGUAUCAGUUUUUGGUACUGUCGUGCAAAGGUUCGAAUUCUUUUAACUCCA